This 889-nucleotide ribosomal RNA is filed under the name Colletotrichum salicis. RNAcentral's name for it is "LSU rRNA". It matches the Rfam family "Eukaryotic large subunit ribosomal RNA", at positions 37 to 956 of the family's 3401-position model. Lineage: Eukaryota; Fungi; Ascomycota; Sordariomycetes; Glomerellales; Glomerellaceae. The record is from RNAcentral.
AGCAUAUCAAUAAGCGGAGGAAAAGAAACCAACAGGGAUUGCCCCAGUAACGGCGAGUGAAGCGGCAACAGCUCAAAUUUGAAAUCUGGCCCCAGGCCCGAGUUGUAAUUUGCAGAGGAUGCUUUUGGCGCGGUGCCUUCCGAGUUCCCUGGAACGGGACGCCAUAGAGGGUGAGAGCCCCGUACGGUUGGACACCAAGCCUUUGUAAAGCUCCUUCGACGAGUCGAGUAGUUUGGGAAUGCUGCUCUAAAUGGGAGGUACAUUUCUUCUAAAGCUAAAUAUUGGCCAGAGACCGAUAGCGCACAAGUAGAGUGAUCGAAAGAUGAAAAGCACUUUGAAAAGAGGGUUAAACAGCACGUGAAAUUGUUAAAAGGGAAGCGCUUGUGACCAGACUUGCGUCCGGUGAAUCACCCAGCUCUCGCGGCUGGGGCACUUCGCCGGCACAGGCCAGCAUCAGCUUGCCGUCGGGGACAAAAGCUUCAGGAACGUGGCUCCUCUCGGGGAGUGUUAUAGCCUGUUGCACAAUACCCUUCGGCGGGCUGAGGUACGCGCUCCGCAAGGAUGCUGGCGUAAUGGUCAUCAGCGACCCGUCUUGAAACACGGACCAAGGAGUCAACCUUAUGUGCGAGUGUUUGGGUGUUAAACCCCUACGCGUAAUGAAAGUGAACGCAGGUGAGAGCUUCGGCGCAUCAUCGACCGAUCCUGAUGUUCUCGGAUGGAUUUGAGUAAGAGCAUAUAGGGUUGGACCCGAAAGAAGGUGAACUAUGCGUGUGUAGGGUGAAGCCAGAGGAAACUCUGGUGGAGGCUCGCAGCGGUUCUGACGUGCAAAUCGAUCGUCAAACAUGCGCAUGGGGGGCGAAAGACUAAUCGAACCUUCUAGUAGCUGGUU